Molecule: ribosomal RNA, 1410 nt
Filed under: Nitrobacter sp. PBAB10
Lineage: Bacteria; Pseudomonadati; Pseudomonadota; Alphaproteobacteria; Hyphomicrobiales; Nitrobacteraceae
Description: bacterial SSU rRNA
Rfam family: Bacterial small subunit ribosomal RNA
Source: RNAcentral
AGCGAACGCUGGCGGCAGGCUUAACACAUGCAAGUCGAACGGGCGUAGCAAUACGUCAGUGGCAGACGGGUGAGUAACGCGUGGGAACGUACCUUUUGGUUCGGAACAACCCAGGGAAACUUGGGCUAAUACCGGAUAAGCCCUUACGGGGAAAGAUUUAUCGCCGAAAGAUCGGCCCGCGUCUGAUUAGCUUGUUGGUGAGGUAACGGCUCACCAAGGCGACGAUCAGUAGCUGGUCUGAGAGGAUGAUCAGCCACAUUGGGACUGAGACACGGCCCAAACUCCUACGGGAGGCAGCAGUGGGGAAUAUUGGACAAUGGGCGCAAGCCUGAUCCAGCCAUGCCGCGUGAGUGAUGAAGGCCCUAGGGUUGUAAAGCUCUUUUGUGCGGGAAGAUAAUGACGGUACCGCAAGAAUAAGCCCCGGCUAACUUCGUGCCAGCAGCCGCGGUAAUACGAAGGGGGCUAGCGUUGCUCGGAAUUACUGGGCGUAAAGGGUGCGUAGGCGGGUCUUUAAGUCAGGGGUGAAAUCCUGGAGCUCAACUCCAGAACUGCCUUUGAUACUGAGGAUCUUGAGUUCGGGAGAGGUGAGUGGAACUGCGAGUGUAGAGGUGAAAUUCGUAGAUAUUCGCAAGAACACCAGUGGCGAAGGCGGCUCACUGGCCCGAUACUGACGCUGAGGCACGAAAGCGUGGGGAGCAAACAGGAUUAGAUACCCUGGUAGUCCACGCCGUAAACGAUGAAUGCCAGCCGUUAGUGGGUUUACUCACUAGUGGCGCAGCUAACGCUUUAAGCAUUCCGCCUGGGGAGUACGGUCGCAGGAUUAAAACUCAAAGGGAUUGACGGGGGCCCGCACAAGCGGUGGAGCAUGUGGUUUAAUUCGACGCAACGCGCAGAACCUUACCAGCCCUUGACAUGUCCAUGACCGGUCGCAGAGAUGUGACCUUCUCUUCGGAGCAUGGAGCACAGGUGCUGCAUGGCUGUCGUCAGGUCGUGUCGUGAGAUGUUGGGUUAAGUCCCGCAACGAGCGCAACCCCCGUCCUUAGUUGCUACCAUUUAGUUGAGCACUCUAAGGAGACUGCCGGUGAUAAGCCGCGAGGAAGGUGGGGAUGACGUCAAGUCCUCAUGGCCCUUAUGGGUAGGGCUUCACACGUAAUACAAUGGCGCGUACAGAGGGUUGCCAACCCGCGAGGGGGAGCUAAUCUCAGAAAGCGCGUCGUAGUCCGGAUCGGAGUCUGCAACUCGACUCCGUGAAGUAGGAAUCGCUAGUAAUCGCGGAUCAGCAUGUCGCGGUGAAUACGUUCCCGGGUCUUGUACACACCGCCCGUCACACCAUGGGAGUGGGUUCCACCAGAAGCAGGUAGUCUAACCGCAAGGAGGGCGCCUGCCACGGUGAGAUUCAUGACUGGGGUG